Molecule: small nuclear RNA, 90 nt
Organism: Monodelphis domestica (gray short-tailed opossum)
Lineage: Eukaryota; Metazoa; Chordata; Mammalia; Didelphimorphia; Didelphidae
Source: Ensembl
GUGCUUGCUUCGGCAACACACAUACUAAAUUUGGAAUGAUACAGAGAAGAUUUGCAUGACACACAAAUUCAUGAAGCAUUCCAUAAUUUU